CCAGCCAGCUCCGGGUCCCUGCGCGGAGGACGCUGAUUCGUGUCGUUAAGCGGGUGAAGCGGGUGUAGACAGAGAGCCCAGGACAGCACCUGGCCCGUAGUAGGUGCCGCAAGAAACGCUUCUUGAAGGAAGGAAGGAACGAACCCACGAGUAUUGCAGGAGGAUUAAAUGAAAGAUCAAUUCAUCCCACCUCACGGUAAUAGGCACCCUGUUUCCUCCCAGCCCCGAGAUUGGAGAGUUUGUUUUCAUCCUCCUGUUGUCUGAACACAGCACAGAGCAAUCCUGAGACACAAAGCAACGUGCCUUUCAAAAUUUUUAAUAAACAUGGAAUCUUGCUAUGCUGGCCAGGCUGGUCUUGAACUGCUAGCCUCAAGCGAUCCUCCCUCCUUGGCCUCUCAAAAUGUUGGGAUUAUAGGCGUGAACCACUGUAACCAGCCUCAAGACAGGCUUUCUAAGACACAAGAUUCCGCGUGUCAACUGUAUCCACGGAAACCAUUCCUUAGUUUAUUGUCACCGCCAUUCCUAACUCUGAUGUGAAAAUCCCUGCGUUCAUCAACAUAACCCAGUUAGGGUCGCACUCAUCACGGGGCCCCCAUUGCCUCUGGCGCACCCCACGACUGACAUCUGCGGGGCCUUCGCGCUAGGCUUCGAGUUUCAGCUUCCGCACCAGGCCUGCCUUUCUGCAGGGGCCAGGGUGGGGGUCGUGUGCUGAUUGGGCCCUCUGAACCGCCACCGCUGCAGAGGGGCUGUUCCUUCCGUCACAUCCCUUGUGCCCGAAUCCACCCUGUGUCUUCUCUUUUCUCAGCAGGACAUUUUAAAAGCCCAGACCCCCUCCUUACAGAGCAAAUGUCCAGGCUUCGGAGGUCACUGUCACAUCCCAAGAACCCCCUUCACCAGGUGCCACUCUUGAGACUGGACUGAAGCCCCCUGGAGAGGACCCCUCCCCUCCCAUGGCUUUGAGCCCAUGAGAUGGCCUUGGACAAAGCGGCAAUGGGCCCUUCCUGAGACACAGUGCGGCCAUCUACUGGGAAACUGCCCAGUGUGACUCUGAUGACUGUGAUGUGAAUCCCACAGCAAAGUUGAGCAGUGCGCAACCUGGGCUACUGCACCUGGCAGCCCUGGCUCCUCCUCCUCUGCCUCUUCCUGCUCCUUCAUUCUCCCCCAGAGCUCUAAUUGUCACUGAGAUUUUAUGUUUCGUUUAACAAAUGACUGUCUCCCCGCUUGAACAGAACCUCCAUGGGGGGAGGGAAGAGUGUCUGUUGUAUAAAUAGUUGUAUUUCAGUGCAUAAAACAGUGCCUGCCUCAAAGGGAGGA
RNAcentral lists this long non-coding RNA (1314 nucleotides) under Homo sapiens (human). RNAcentral describes it as "HSALNT0371868". Lineage: Eukaryota; Metazoa; Chordata; Mammalia; Primates; Hominidae. The record is from RNAcentral.